UACGAAGGUGGCAAGCGUUACUCGGAAUUAUUGGGCGUAAAGCGCGUGUAGGUGGACUUUUAAGUCAGAGGUGAAAUCCUGAAGCUUAACUUCAGAAUUGCCUUUGAAACUAGAAGUCUUGAACUUGGUAGAGGAUGGUGGAAUACCCAGUGUAGAGGUGAAAUUCGCAGAUAUUGGGUGGAACAUCAGUGGCGAAGGCGACCAUCUGGACCAUAGUUGACACUGAGACGCGAAAGCGUGGGGAGCAAACGGG
This 253-nucleotide ribosomal RNA is filed under the name uncultured bacterium. Its description in RNAcentral is "partial 16S ribosomal RNA". It matches the Rfam family "Bacterial small subunit ribosomal RNA", at positions 524 to 776 of the family's 1533-position model. The record is from RNAcentral.